Numida meleagris (helmeted guineafowl) is the source of this 694-nucleotide long non-coding RNA. RefSeq lists it as uncharacterized. The transcript has 3 exons. NCBI's taxonomy places the organism in Eukaryota, Metazoa, Chordata, Aves, Galliformes, Numididae. The record is from RefSeq and is a predicted model, not a curated record.
UGGGAGGCAGGGCCUACCUAGGGGAGCUUAGGUGCAUGCAAUUCACCUGAGUAAUGGGAAGGAGUGGAGCCAGGAGCCACCCAAGAGCCACCCCUUCCCAGAACUUCUUUUAAUGGUUGGCAGUGGAGGCAGGGGUGUCUUGUUGGAGAUCCUUGUGUAUCUGAGGUCUUUCAGGGAAUAAUGAGUCUGCAGGCUGUGAGGGUCACAGCAGUUUGUUACUGUAUCCCUAUGUCUUGUCUGAAUAAGAUUACAUGAACUUCAGUGUAUCCACAGAAUGGGAAGCAGUGCUAAUACAGUACCUGAUACACAGCUGCACAAUGAAGCAGUCCCCAAAGAAAUGAAGCAGAUGAGCCAAGGAGAGCCUACAAUUGACAUCUGCAGUCCCUAACUAGAUCCCUGAGCAGAACACUAGGAUUUGGAUUAGGGUGUUGAGUUUCAAAUCUCCAUAAAAUGUGCAAGUAAUUCCUGGAGCAUUAAUCUCAACAGUCCUGUCAUGCUGCUUUUCAAGCACUCAGUUAUGCAGUUAUGUAUGUGGCCACAUGAAAGUUUUAAUUUCUUUCACUUUUCUGUGAUUUCAGUAUUGGUGACUCCAUGCUUCUGUGAAUUUGGAUGUUUCUCUGUGGAGAAGAUCUAAUGUCAGUUUUGACCAACAUAGAAUAGCAUUUGUUUUUAUGGCCUGAAAUAAAAACAUAGC